UGAAUGUGGAUGGUUCUGUUACGUGCAAGGAGAAAUGUGGUCCAUCUGUUUCAGUGGCGCUUGUGGGAGUGGCUGGCGACCGUCAAAAGAAGACAGUUGUUUUAACUGACGAGAGCAAUCAAUUUCACUUUUCAGACAUAUUGCCUGGAAAGUAUAGAGUUGAGGUCAAAAGCAUUUCGCCGGAAACAGCAUCUGAGGAAGACAAUUGGUGCUGGGACCGUAGCUCCAUUGAUGUGAAUGUCGGAACUGAGGAUAUCAAAGGGAUCGAAUUUGUCCAGAAGGAUUAAUAUUGUCUCCACCCAUGAGGUGGAUGCUAAAAUUCUUCAUCCUUAGUGGGUUACCUACUAAUUUAAAAAUCAAGAAAGGUUUGCAGAAAAUAUGCGUUGAGUCACCUGGUGGGCAUGAGCUUCAACUUUCUGACUCUUGCAUAUCCUUUGGGAGCAAUUCAAUAAAGAUAGAUGUCUCAAAUCCCCAGCCUAUUCAUCUGAGAGCAGAGAAGUACCUCGUUAAAGGUCUGAUAAAUGUGGAGUCUAGCUCAACCGAGAUUGAAUCUGAGUUGCCAGAGAAUUUCAUUGUUGAUAUUCAAGACAAGGAAGGAAGUGUUAUCAACAGUAUUUCUGCUAAACUUGCAUCUGAUGGGAGUGGUGUGUACGAGUACUAUACCUGGGCAAAUCUUGGAGAAAAGAUUAGCUUUGUUCCUCGGGAUUCUAGGAGUAAUGUGGGGAAGAAGAUGUUGUUUUAUCCGAAAGAGCUUCGUGCGGUAGUGUCAAAUGAUGGUUGCCAAGCUGCUGUUUCCCCAUUUACUGGUCGACUUGGUCUUUACAUACAAGGAUCGGUCUCUCCUCCUCUUCCCGGUGUUAACAUUAAGGUCUCUGCAGCAAAAGACAGCCUUAUUUCUUCACUUAAGAAAGGCGAAGUAGCUGUUGAAACAAGCACAUCACCAGAUGGUUCUUUUGUUGCUGGGCCUUUGUAUGAUGAUAUACCAUAUGACACAGAUGCUUCAAAGAAGGAAAGCAGAACGAAGAACUAAACAUGAACCUGCUAGUGGAGAUCAAAUCAGCCACUGAUGAAUCUAAAACAGAGAAUGUCUUUCCUCUACCACUUUCCAACUUCUUCCAAGUAAAAGGCUUGUCCAGAGGUAAACACCUUGUGCAGCUUAAAUCCAACCGUCCUUUAGGCUCCCAUAAAGUAGUGUCAGAGAUCAUCGAAGUGGAUUUCGAGACAAAUGCCCAGAUCCAUGUCGGUCCACUUCGAUACAGCAUCGUGGCAGAUCAUCAGAGUCAGAAGUGACGCCUGCAGCUAUAUUGCCACUGGUUACUGGCAUUGCGGCAAUUGCUCUGUUCAUCAGCAUCCCCAGGUUGAAAGAGAUUUACCAAGCCACGGUUGGGAUGUCGUCUCCCGGGUUCACUGCAUCUAUCAAGAGAGAACCUCGAAAAGCUGUCGCUAGAAAGAAGACUUUCUGAAGCAUUUACCAACUACACUGGUGUAGUACGCAAAUGUGGGAGACUAAGUGAACGUUUGUACUUAUCAAGUGAGCUACAGUGUUCAGAUCUGGACGCUGGUAGUCUACAACAAGAUGAAGCUAAUGAGAAGACAUAGGAGAGCAUUUUGCUUUUCAUGUUUUGGAGAUUGGUCGAUUAGAUGCAAAAUUAUUGGAUGCUUGAUCUAAGGGUUGCUUACUUUCGAAGGACUAUCUAUAUAGAGAAUAGAGACCAAGUUUCGUUAAAUAGUGGUUUUUUUGUAGUCGCCCAUUAUGAUUUCUCCUCUCUGAUUUAUAAGAAUUGAACUCCAUAAGGAUUA
This is an RNA transcript of Brassica oleracea var. oleracea, 1800 nucleotides long. It is a transcript of the gene named nodal modulator 3-like, with no coding region annotated. The record is from RefSeq and is a predicted model, not a curated record. NCBI's taxonomy places the organism in Eukaryota, Viridiplantae, Streptophyta, Magnoliopsida, Brassicales, Brassicaceae. The transcript is spliced from 9 exons.